GGCGAGGUUCGUAACUCAGUGGUGGGGCAUCUGUUCUGCAUGCAGAAGGUUCUAGGUUCAAUCCCCUGGCCUCUCCA
Podarcis lilfordi (Lilford's wall lizard) is the source of this 77-nucleotide non-coding RNA. NCBI's taxonomy places the organism in Eukaryota, Metazoa, Chordata, Lepidosauria, Squamata, Lacertidae. The record is from the annotation of a GenBank genome assembly.